This 960-nucleotide long non-coding RNA is filed under the name Oncorhynchus kisutch (coho salmon). RNAcentral's name for it is "lncRNA (ENSOKIG00005024761.1)". The record is from RNAcentral. Lineage: Eukaryota; Metazoa; Chordata; Actinopteri; Salmoniformes; Salmonidae.
UUAGAUCUGUAUCACAUGGUCUAUUAAUAUCAUUCUGGGGCAUUAGAGGGGCGUGUCCUUACAGGUGUUUACCUGGUGUUGUCUCGACAACUGGCACAAGGUAAUUUGAGAUAAUACAAAGUUUAGAUUCUUUGAGGUAGAGACCCAGAAGGGAGGGAGGGUGACCUCACAUACUUACUAUGGCACCAGUCUAGGAUGUGUGUAGACUACAUGUGAUGGUUCACCUGAUAGAGUCUAGGAGGUGUGUAGUCUACAUGUGAUGGUUCACCUGAUAGAGGAUGUGUAUAGACUACAUGUGAUGGUUCACCUGAUAGAGGAUGUGUGUAGACUACAUGUGUUGGUUCACCUGAUAGAGUCUAGGAUGUGUGUAGACUACAUGUGAUGGUUCACCUGAUAGAGAGAAGGACUGGAGCACACAGCUAUAGGAAUAUUAGGUGAGUGUUUAGUUGACUUGCUGCAUGGCUUUACACACACACAUACACACAUACACACACACACACCUGAAACACCACACCACAGUCCUCAUUCAGUAAUAGUGUUUUCCAUAACGUCCUCAGGGUGGAGUGAUAACAUUACUAGUUGUGAGAGUCUCCUUUUCCCCGGCUGAGCUGAGAUGGACGUGUGUCUGAUCCCACUGGGGGAGAACCCAGAGGAGUAUCAGCAAAGGAUCAUGGGAGCUAGAGUCCAGAGACAAGUGCUGACUUCCUACAAAGAGGAGCUGGUCAGAGCUGGACAGAGUACUCCUGUGUUUCAGAGACCUACAGUGGGUGAGUGACUCAUCAUAAAGCCACAUACUACAUUCCAUAUUGGCCCCUAUAUAUCUGAAAGUAGCCUAGUGGUUAGAGCGUUGGACUAGUAACUCUAUAUAUCUGAAGGUAGCCUAGUGGUUAGAGCGUUGGACUAGUAACUGGAAGGUUGCAAGUUCAAACCCCUGAGCUGACAAGGUACAAAUAUAUAUAU